RNAcentral lists this long non-coding RNA (29887 nucleotides) under Marmota monax (woodchuck). Lineage: Eukaryota; Metazoa; Chordata; Mammalia; Rodentia; Sciuridae. The record is from RNAcentral.
GGCGGAGGGAGCCGGGGCUGGGAGUUCUCCUGAGAGAAGAGGAGUGAAGUGGCGGGGACGCGGCGGCGGCAGUGCUGACAAUGGUGAGUGCGCGGCGGCCGGUGCGCUAGUCUCCCGCCUUCAGCUCGGAGCGCGCGGCGCGACGGCCAACGGCGGGCGCGGCGUCGCGUCAGGAAGGGGCGGGCGGGGAGCUGGGAGCAGGUUAGGCCUGUCCGGCUACCCCGGGUUCGGGGGAGUGCGAGCGGCGCCGCCUCUUCCCGGUCUCGAAGAGGCCCGAGGACCGGCAGGCGGCCGUGCCUCUCCUGGCCAUGUCGGAGCCUCUGCCGGCGUUCCUCGACCGGCUGUGGGGGCCCUGGCUGGGCACCCGGACCCCGCCCCUGCGGGGGCCCGCGGCCGCUUCCCCGCCCAAGGUAGCAGGUCCCUGCGCUGCUCCCCGGCAACCUCGCUUCCAUGCAGGUUGGGUGACCCAGAGUCCCCCAGUUCCGGCCUCUGGUGGACUUGGUCACUCUCCCUGUGUUAUGAGCUUGAUAAACUCCCUUAUUUUUUAUCCUGGGUACGGUGACUGUGAUUUCAUGACCCUACUUGAGGGUGGAGGUUGACACUUGUAGAAUGGGAGAGAAAGGGGUGUCUGAAUGGGGUGACGUUUUUAACUCCGAACACUGAGUUUCGUGUCCGCGGAUUUCAGCGUUGACUUCGUUUCCUUCCCUAAGCCGUUUCUUUAACUUAACGCUUCGGGAUGUUGAAAUGGCCUAGGAAGCAGAGGAGGGAGGGAAAUCAGUUUUCUAACCCCAGUUUGUGGGAAGCACAAACGUGGGCACGGUGGUGGUUAGCUUUGAGUGUCGGCAGCCUCCUCUAGAUUGGAUCUCAUUGGGCUCAUUUUACGGUAGCAUUCGUUUAUUCGUUUCAUUUGCUCUGCAUGCUUUGAGUGCCUACUAUGUGCUUUCCGUAUCCUACCUCCUUUCCCAAAGCUUGCCUUUUAAAUAAACUGAAACUUUUGGCUAACGGUCAAGCCAGUUUUUUUUUUUUUUAAGUUACUUUGAAUAAAUAACUUCUAAAGUCAGAAAUUGCUUUGCUUUCAUUUAAAGAAAAAAAAAAAGAUGUAUUCAUUUUUGGAGUUUUUUUCCUUUCAUUUAUUGUCCAGGGGCCAUAAACAAAACUGCUUGCUUUCUUUUAGCAUACAGUCUAAGGAGAGAUAAACAUUAAUUUGUGUAAACUGGUUGUUUAACGUGGAAAUUACAAUUGUGAUAAAUACUGAGAAGGAAUUGCUGGAGGAUUUCACCUAGUCAGGGAGUUGGGGAAGUCUUCUCUGAUUAUAAUUUGAAAAGAAAACUUUAUAAAACUCCAAUUUUUUGCUUAUAUGUGUAAUUAGUGUUUUUACUAAGCUUUCUGCAAUAUGUUAAAGAACAUGGUUUAUUUUCAAGUUACUUGUCAAACAAAUGAAAUUGUAAAACUUUGAAACGUUGAAAUGGCACAAAUGUAUGUGUGAAAAUAUGCUGUUUCAUUGUGUGUAGGCUAAGCAAAUAAAUUUUGAGAGUCUCCCUUCCACCUCACCUUGAUCUACAUUUCAUCCACCGGUCUUGGUGCACUUUGUUCUAUUAGGACUAAAAAAUGUCUUUUAUGUAUCCACAUGUAAUUUUGCUACAUGAUAAUGCUUAAUGUAGGGUUUACACAUUGUAUGAAAAAUCUUAAAUUAACCCAAAGUUAGUGAUUAAUAUGAAGUUUAGGCCAAGAUUAGAAAACUGAAAACGCUAUAAUGUUUUACUAGUAGUAUAUUGCAGUCUAGUUAUUUAAAAGUGACCUAGAAGUUUUAUUAUUUUCUUUUUUUGUUUUGCUGAUACUGGGGAUUGAGCCCAGGGCCUCACAUGUGCUAGGCAAGCCUCUACCAUUGAGCUACAUUACUAGCCCUAAGAGUUUUUUUGUUUUUAAUAUUUUUUUAAUUGUCAUUGGACUUUAUUUUAUUUAUUUAUGUAUGAUGCUGAGAAUCGAACUCCAGUGCCUAGGCAAGUGCUCUACCACUGAACCACAACCCCAGCCUUAGCCCUAAGAGUUUUAACUUGUAUUAUUAAUUGUGUAGUAUUGUUCUUGAACAUUCUUUUUUGGGGAUACUUGUAAAGACAAGUGCUCUGCCACUGAGCCAUAUCCCCAACCUGAAAAUCUCAUACUCCUAUUGCUCACUUGAAGUUGUCUUUGACAGAAGAUCUCAAUAGUAUUCUUUCAAAACUGCCUUCUGUUAUUUCAGCAAGUCUAAAGUAUCCUUUUUAUUAUAUUUUCUUUUUCCUAUUUUUAUACUGGGGAUUGAGCCACAUCCCCUGCCCUUUUUAAAAUUUUUUUAUUUUGAAACAGGGUCUUGCUAAGUUACCUAGGGCCUCCCUAAGUUGCUGAGACUGGCUUUGAACUUUCAAUCUGCUUGCCUCAGCCUCCCUAAAGUUGCUGGGAUUACAUGUGUGCACCACUGCAUUGGGCUGUUUUUACAAUUUUUGUUCCCUUCCUUUCUUGUAUUUUACUUUCUCUUUAACAUAUCAGAAGUAUUAUAAUUUGAUUGUGAAUAAUUAGAAUUAAAUAUCAUGACUUUUUAUUUGAAAUGUGAGAAUAUAUAAUCUUGAAAUAAAAUAAAACCAAGACCUUGGGUAAAGAAUCUUUUACUUUAAACGGCUUUUAGAAAACAAAAAAGACAAGUUCUUUUCUCAGUUUUUUUUUUCUGUUGUUGACUUGUGAAAUAUAACACUUUUUUGGAGUGUUCUUUUGAGUAAAACUAUAGGUUCAUUUUUGAUAUGUCCCAAUAUUAAAAAAAAAAAGCUGUAUGUUAACCCAAUGCUAAAAUCUUAUGGCAUAGUUAACUUGUUAAAAUGCUAUAGUUUAUUACUCAACCUAACUCUUUGGCAUGUGCUAUUUUUUGUUAUACCUUUUUUUUUUUUUUUUUAGUUGUAGUUGGACACAAUACCUUUAUUUCACUUAUUUAUUUUUAUGUGGUGCUAAGGAUCGAACCCAGGGUCUCACAAGUGUGAGGUGAGCGCUCUACCACUGAGCCACAACCCCAGCCCCUUGUUAUACCUUCUGAUUCCUCACCAUUUUAACUUUAAAAAAAGUUUUAUUAUUUAUUGAUGGACCUUUAUUUAUUUAUUUGUUUAAAUGUGGUGCUGAGGAUUGCAUCCAGUGCCUCACACAUGCGAGGCAAAUGCUUUACCACUGAGCCACAACCCCAUCCCCAUUUUAACUUUUUUUUAUUGUAUUGAGAAGGAAGUCUGUUUUUUUUUUUUUUUUUCAUUUUUAGUUCUGAAAUAUUUAAUGCAUAUAGAAAAUAAUGUAGUACAUAACACCUAGAUUUUUCUUUUUCUUCUUUUGGUAUUGGAAAUGCACUCAGGAUUGUUUAACCACUGAGCCAAACCCACAGAUAUUUUUAUUUUAUUUUUUAAAUUUUGAGACAGGAUCUCACUAAAUCCUGAGAGCCUCAAUAAUUUGCUAAGGCUGGUCUUGAACUUGCAAUCCUCCUGUCUCACCCUCCCAAACUGGGAUUACAGGUGGUGUAUGAUACCAUGCCUAGCUGCAUGUAUUUUUAAUGCCUAGGAAUUUUUAAUUUUUAAGAAUUGGUAUCAGGACAAUACUUUUUGUGUAUGAUUAUUAAUUGUGUAGUUUUCUAAAACUAAGUCUUUUGGCAAUUUUAAUUAGCGCUGAUUUUAAUUUUGCUAAAAUUGUUUUUAUUUAUUUUGGGAGGGGGAACUGGGGAUAGUACUUAGGGACACUCGAUCACUGAGCCACGUCCCCAGCCAUAUUUUGUAUUUUAUUUAGAGACAGGGUUUCACCGAGUUGCUUAAUGCCCCACUUUUGCUGAGGCUGGCUUUGAACUCACUAUCCUCUCUUCUCAGCCUCCCAAGCUGCUGGGAUUACAAGCAUGUGAAACCGUGCCCAGACAAAAUUGUAUUUAAUUUUUGAUUAUUUGAUUUUUGUUAUUUUUCAAAUACCAAGUGCAGCUCUGUUAAAUAUUAUAAUAAUAUAUAAUGUUAUAAAAAACUGUUAGAAAACAGUUUUUAUAGUUUUCACAAUUUAUUUUUCCUUGAAGUAGCCUUGGUAAGUGUCGGGUUAAAAAUUAAUAUUUCUGCCUUAAUUUUGUAACUCAAAUGAAUUGAUGUUGUGGGUGUCACAAGGGAGAAGAACUCAUUUUCUUCUUACCCUCACUGCCAGUUGGUGUUCUCUUUUUCUGCACCUGACUUUGUUUCCCCAAUUAAAAUAGCUACUUGGAGAUGUUGCUUUUAUCCUUUCAUAAGUGAUCUAUCUGCAGUAGUCUCCUCUCUUGUUGGCUCAGUGGUUAAUAGUGCACAUAGUUAAUAAUUAGUGGAUUGAUUUUGAACUGUUGUACAUCUUUUUAAAAAAAAUUUUUUUAAGUUGUUGAUGGACCUUUAUUUUUUUUAUUUAUUUGUAUGUGGUGCUGAGAAUCGAACCCAGUGCCUCAUGCAUGCUAGGCAAGCUCUCUACCACUGAGCCACAACCCCAGCCCUCCUCCCCUCCAAACUGUUGUACAUCUUAUCUGUAGUCUUCUCUUAGGAGAACAUGUAGUAUUUUAAAAUUUGCCUUUUUUGAGUAGGUUUUGAGUUUUAAGACUUAGAGUGUGAACACUAACUAGAAUAGAUAAUGCAGGUAACCUAUCAUUGAAGUUUUUCAUUCUCUCUAAAUUAGUUCAUUGUAGUUUUCUGAUAACAAUUUUGAGUUUGUUGUUCCCAGAAAAGACUAAAACAUCACGUCAAAAAGAAAAUUUGGGGGGAUGGGGGUUGUAGCUUAGUGGUAGGGGGCUUGCCUAGCUGUGUGAGGCACCGGGUUCAAUCCUCAGCACCACAUAAAGAUAAAUAAAUAAAGGUAUUGUGUUCAUCUACAACUAAAAAAAAUAUUUUUAAAAAAAGAAAAUUUGCUAUUUGGAAUAUAUCAAAAACACUAAUUUGGCAAUUCUUGUAGUUUCUUGAAAGUAUAAGCCCACCCUUUUAAUAUAGGAGUAAUGAAAACAAAGAAGCAAGUCCACAUUUUGGGAAAACACUGUCUCAUUUGAUCAUAGCCUACAAAGCCUUUUGGAGGCUCAUUAUCUUGCUUGCCAUUCCCUGGCCACCUCAGGACAGAGCUGACCUUGUCUGUGCUUGAGUUCCAUGCUCUAGGCUUCACUAUUAACACCAGUGCUAAUUUGUUGGGAAAGGGCUGGCAUUACCACCUAUUCUAGAUAUCAUCCAACUUCUUUUGUAUAGUCAGUUUUUUCCCUAUUAUUAGAAUGGUAUUUGUAUGUUUAAAUUUAACAUUCCAAUAGGUAUUUCAGUGCCUUCUAUUAAAUGCCACUACUGCUCUAGGUCCUGUCUCUUCAGUGAGGAAUAAAGGAUAUGGUGUCCUCACAUAGUUUACAGUGUAGUAGGAGUGUCAGGCAGUAAAAUCAGCCUUGCGACACCUAACUUUGGAGAAUCCAGUUUGGAUUAGGGAGUUAGGGAGAGUCUUAUGAAAAUGACUCAAACUUAAAUUAAAAGGAUGAGUUAGGUUAAGGUACUUUGCUUGACUCUAGGACAAAGAAUUUGGCAAAUGUGAUGAACUUUUGCAGAAAAAUCUUAAGAUCAUUUGAGGCUGAUGUAACUGAAGAGAUGUACAGAGCUAUGUAAGAUGUUACAGAAUGCAGUGUGUGUAUGUGUACUAUUGAAGUUAACAUUAUGUAUAAGGAUAUAGCUUGAUGAAUUUCAUAAAGUGAACAUGCCUGUGUGUCAAGUGCUCAGAACAGAGAACAGUACUAGCACCCCACUUAUUUUAUUCUUCCUCCCACUUCUUAACUUCUAAUAUUACAAUGUACAGGGGCUGGGGAUGUGGCUCAAGCGGUAGCACGCUCGCCUGGCAUGCGUGCGGCUCUGGGUUCCAUCCUCAGCACCACAUACAAACAAAGAUGUUGUGUCCGCCGAAAACUAAAAAAAAAUAAAUAUUAAAAUUCUCUCUCUCUUUUAAAAAAAAAAACAAUGUACAUUACAUGUUUUUGACUUAUAUGUAUAUGAGAUCAAAACAGAAUGUAUUCUCCUGUGUGGCCUCUUGGACUCUUUAAUUCAACUUUUUUUUGUUGUUGUUGUUGAUAGAUGUUUGGAUUGUUUCCAUUGGAGGCUGUUGUAAACAUAUUUGUCUCCUGUAAGUUUCUGUUUAGGAAUAUAUCCAGGGAUGGAAUUGUUGGGUUAUGGGAUGUAUACAUCUUCAGCUUUACUAGAUCAUGCCAAACUAUUUCCUAAAGUAGUUCUAAUUUAUAAGUUCACCAGCCCAUGGAAAUAUUUUAUAAACAGGAAAUGAUAUGAUCAAAUUUAUGUUUUUUAAAGACUACCCUGCUUGUUGUAUAGGGUAAGUUAAAAAGGGAUAUAGUACAUGAUAGAAGACUAUUAUCUUGUAAAUUAAAAAAAAAAACAAAAAAAUCCCCAAAAUAGACUAGAAGACUGGCUGGCUUUCCUUAGUGACAAAAUAAUUUUUGGCUUGUUUGUUUUUGUACUGGGGAAUUGAACCUAGGGGUGCUUUAUCACUGAACUACAUCCCCAGUCUUUUUCUUUUUUCUUUUGAGACAAGGUCUUUCUAAGUUGCUAAGGGUCUUGCUAUGUUUCUGAUGCUUCCCUUGAGCUUGUGAACCCCCUGCCUCAGCCUUUCAAGUCGCUGAGGGUAGAGGCCUUCACCAAUGUGCCUGAUGACAAAAAUAAUUUUAAUUAUAUCCUAUACUAUAGUUGCUAAUGGAUUCUGUUCAUAUUACUUGAUUAUUACCAACUAAUAUGUUUUGGCAUUGAUAAGCAAUUGAUUUUUGUUCUUUAUAGUUCUGUCAUAUCGAGGAUUUACAGAAUAAGGCUUGUAUAAAUUGGAGAAAUUUCAUUGGUUUCCUCAGAGCCAGCUUUUACACACACACACACACACACACACACACACACAUUUUUAGUAGUAGGUGGACACAAUUCCUUUAUUUUAUUUGUUUUUAUUUUUAUGUGGUGCCAGGGAUCGAACCCAGUGCCUCACACAUGCUAGGCAAGCUCUUUACCACUGAGCCACAACCCCAGCCCCUAGAGCCAGUUUUACUCAAAGGGCUUAUAUAAUGUAACACAUUCUGUUUAGACCUAAUAUAGCAGUAGAUUUUAUAGUAAGUGCAUUAUAAUAAUUCAUUUCAGCUUUUUAGAAGUAAUUUGGAUUAUGCAAAUUCUGCUCUCAUGAAAACUCAUAGAGGUUUAAUAAAAGUUAAUUUUUCAAACUUAAGAUGUUAAGAUGGCUGGGCUCGUGGUGCUCGCCUAUAAUUGCAGCGGCUCAGGAGGCUGAGAAAGGAGGAUCUCAGGUUCAAAGCCAGCCUCAGCAAUGGUGAAGCUAAGCAACUCAGUGAGACUCUAUCUCUAAAUAAAAUACAAUAUAGGGCUGGGGAUAUGGCUCAGUGGUCAAGUGUCCCUGAGUUCAAUCCCUGGUACCCCACCCCCACCCUGCCCAAAAAAGAAUUCUUACAGUUCUAGUAUGCUAGUAUUUGAUUAUUUAUAAUGGUUACCUAUGGAAAUGAUUGAAAUUAUAACAUAUUUAAUUGUUUAUAUUUUUCCCUUUUUGGUGAUUAAAAAAAACCUAUAAAAUGAAAUCUUUUAAUCUAACUUAAAAAAGUGUAUAGUACAGUACUGUUCACUGUUUACACAUUAUUAUAUUCAGUUUGUAAAGUUUUGAUGUAGAAUUUGAUGUAAGCUUGUGAACUCACAGAUUUGGAGUCUAACUGUAGGUCGAUGGUGUAAUAAAAUUUGAAUUUAAAAUGUUGUGACUGGCUGCCUACGAUAAUUAUGAGCAUUUUUAUUUUAUUUCAGAGUUUUCUUGGAGGCUUUUUUGGUCCCAUUUGUGAGAUUGAUGUUGUCCUUAAUGAUGGAGAAACCAGGAAAAUGGCAGAAAUGAAAACUGAAGAUGGCAAGGUGGAAAAACACUAUCUCUUCUAUGAUGGAGAAUCAGUUUCAGGAAAGGUAAAUCUUUUGUUUGGCAGAAUUACCUAGUUGUAGGAUAUUGGAAUUACUCAUCAAAAUGAUCUGCACUGUGUCUAAAUUUGAGCUCCAGAUGAAUUAUUACAGUGAUUUAAAAAAAUUAUUUGGUUUAAUUAGUUAUACAUGAAAUUAGAAUGCAUUUAUGCAUUUUGAUAUUCUGUACAUAGAUGGAAUAUAAUUUCUCAUUUUUCUGAGUGUACAUGUUGCAGAAUCAUUGGUCAUGUAGUCAUAUAUGUACAUACAUAAAGUAUUAGAGACGGAAUUUUUUUCUCCAAAGGUCAGCUAAAAUCUUUGAUUAGAACAUUUAGAAAGACUCUUAAUCCUGGAAGAAUUCUAAGUUACUCAAAAUAAUUCUCUCUUUUUUUGAUUGUGAAUUUGUUUAGCUUUGGAAAGUUUGUUUAGCUUUGGAAAGUUUGUCUAGCUUGGAGAGUUUCUCCAGAAUAGAGUUGUGAUCCUCUCAACAUUUGCUUCCCUUUCAACAUACAGUUGAGUUGUAGAGAUUGCAGUAACUCUGGUGUGCCAUUCUAAAGGUUUCUCAUUCUUUGUAACUUACCUCUCUAUAUUAUUCUUGUGUCUGUUGAUCUUAUUUUUGGUACUCCAUUGAAGACCUAAGUAUUUUUGGAAUGUGUUUGUGUGAAGGCAUCUGUAUGUCAGAUUCUGCAAGAUUUCACUUUUCCCCCCUUUUCCUUAUACACUGAUAUGUAAGAUUAUUCUUAAACCUUAGGGAAUAGGAUCAAUACUCAUUAGCUUGAGAUACUAGAGAAUAGUAAUAUCAUAGACAAAAGCAAGCUAUAAAACAUUUGAAAUAAUUUUUAAAAUACAAAAUGUUAGGAUUUUUCUUUCUUGCUUCUUCAAUUAAUUUAUACAUGUGGUAGGCAGUUUGGGAAAAUAAGGUAUAAUUCUAUUAUGGAAAUAAUUCGCAGUUAAAUUUGAAUGUGUCUUCUCUAAGUUUCCCUGUUUUUGUUUAUAUAUUUGUAGCACAGUCUUAUGUCAUUUAAUGACAGAGAUAUGUUUUUGACAGAUGUGUCUUUAUAGCCUUUUUUUUUUUUUUUGAUGGUGGUGCUGGGGAUUGAACCUAGGGCCUUGUGCAUGCAAGGCAAGCACUCUACCCACAGAGCUAUAUCCCCAGCUUGACAGAUGUGUCUUUAGGUGAUUUGGGCAUUGUGUGAGCAUAAUAGAAUGUAUGUGCACAAACCUAGUGGUAUGAAGUUCUACACACCUAGGCUAUAUGGUAUAGGCUACUUAAAUUUUUUUUUUUUUCACUUUUUAAGUUUUUUUAUUGUUGAAAACUAAGAUACAAAUAUAUUAGCCUAGGCUUACACAGAAUCAGAAUUAUCAACAUCAUUGUCUUUGAUUUUCCCAUCUUGUCCCACUGGAAGGUCUUCAGGGGCAAUAACAUAGUUGGAACUGUCAUCUCCUAUUAUAACAAGUGCCUUCUGGAAUCCCUCCUUAAGGACCUGCCUGUUUUACAGUUAUCAUUAUUUUUUUUAAUAAGUAGAAGGAGUACACUCUAAUAAGUAUAGAAAAUAUGAACCAGUAAAUAGUCAUUUAUUAUCAUUAUCAGUUUUUAUAUACUAUGUAUAAUUGUAUAUGCAGUAGGUUUGUUUACUCCAGUAUUACUAAAAGCAUGUACGUAAUAAUUUGCAGCAUCAUGAUGGCUACUCAGUUACUAGGUGAUAGAAAUUUACUCACUUUAUUAUAAUCUUAAGGUACCACCAUAUGCAGUUUGUCCUUUGUGGGAAGCCAUCCUGACACGUGACUGGGCGACUCCCGUUAAGGGUCUGAGGCUUCUGGCUGUGUCGGAAUAUUCCCGGCCCUUUCCUGAUGAGAGAACCCGUCCGUGUGGGGGUGUGACUGACCACUGACCCCGGGGGCCCAAUCACUGACCCUGACCUUGGAGUGCAGUCCCCCCUCAACCUUCAUUGGAUGGAAUUAUCCCCUGAAUUUCUUGUUCCCCAAUAAAAGGCUACUCCCUGGCGUGUUCACUCUCUCUCUCCUGCUAGCCCUGAGUAAUCCUUGCUGCCCUGCUGGGCGGUUAGAGGUUGGAGUCAGAGAGGGGAGCUGUCUCGGACCUGGCAAUAGAAAUAAGGUAACUGAGUCUGUGUGUUUUAUUUCGAUCUCUUCUAACUAACUUUAUGCCAAGAACCUCAUUAAUGAAACCAUUGCGCAGGCCACGUGGUAGAGUCCUUGACCAAAUUAUCAUGUGGUACAUGAAAGUAGUUUCUAGUUUUGUUUUUUUUUUUGUUUUUUUUGGCAGAGCUGGAGAUUGAACCCAGGGCCUUGUGCAUGCAAGGCAAGCACUGUACCAACUGAACUAUAUCCCUAGCCCCAUUAGUUUCUAGUUUUUAAGAUAGCUUUUAGUAUAUAAUAUCAUCUUUGAUAAUAUGGACAUCUGUAUGCAUACAUUUUUCUCCAGAUUCUACAGGUCAAGAUUGUUUACUUAGAAUAGAUUCCUGGAAAAAGUUGCUGGGCCAAAAGACAUGAGUAUUUGCAGGGUCGUAAUACAUAUUAAUUUGGAAAAUUUAUGUGCGUUAAAUUACAUGAUCUACAUAUAUUGUCUUGUUUCAUUCAAGGAAGCAUUGAAUAUGAUCACUUUAUUUACACAAUAUAUUUAUUUUGUUUAUUUGUUUUAUGUUGUGCUGGGAAUUGAACCCAGUGCCUUGUGCAUGCUAGGCAAGCACUCUACCACUGAGCCCAGCCCGAAUAUGAGCACUUUAUAAUGUAAUGUGGUUCAGUGGUUAAGUGCCUCUGGGUUCAAUCCCGCCCCCCCCCCCCCCCAAUUUAUGGAAUAUAAUAACCUUGCCUACAUUUUCAUUUUUUAGUUAUAGGUGGACACAAUAUCUUUAUUUUAUUUUUAUGUGGUGCUGAGGAUCGAACCCAGUUUCUUACAACGCUAGGCAAGUGCUCUACCUCUGAGCCAGGACCCCAGCUCCCAUUUUCUGUUUUUUAAUAUUUCGGAUUUAUUGUCUUUAGUAUAAAGUCUUGCUGACAAAGCCUAAUUUUAUUUCACUUAAAUGUUGUAAUGCCCUUUUUGCCUUGAUACCCAAAGGAUAUCUUUUUCUCUCUUAUUUUUUUGUGGUGCUGGGCCUCAUACAUGGUAGGUAAGUACUCUACCACUGAUCUACAGUUCAAGCCAACAUUCUCCCCCCUCCUUUCUUUCUUUCUCUGGGGAUUGAACCCAGGGGCGUUUUAACCACUGAGCCACAUCCCAGCUCUUUUUACUUUUUAUUUUGAGACAGGGUCUUGCUUAAUUGCUGAGGCUGACAUUAAAUUUGUAUCCUCCUGCCUCAGCCUCCCAGGUAGUUGGGACUACAGGUAUGGGCCACCAUGUCUUGCUAAUAUUUUUGUUUAUAGAUGAGGUAAUAGUGGUUCAUAGGUUGAAUAGCAUGUUUGAAAAUGUACAAUCAUUGGUGUGAGUAAAACAGGUUACAGGAUAAUAUACUAUACUAUUUUUUUUCUUUUUUACAGUAUUGGGGAUUAAAUCCAGGAGUGCUUUACUACUGAGCUCUAUCACCAGUCCUUUUUUUUUUUUUUGAGACAGGGUAUUGUCUAGUUGCUGAGGCUGAACUUGCAAUCCUCCUGCCUUUGAAGUACCUGGAAUUACAGGUAUACACCAUUAUACCUGGCAGGAAAACAUUUUACAUUUAGAAUAAGAAAAUAAAUAAGGAAAGAAUAUGCUUGGCAUGUCAUUUAUUGUAAUAUAACAAAUGCAAAAAAAAAAAAGAGUUAAUAUUUUGCUUUUUUUUUUUUUUUAAAGAGGGAGAGAGAGGGGGAGAGAAAGAGAAUUUUUUUUUUAAUAUUUAUUUUUUACUAUUUGGCGGACACAACAUCUUUGUCUGUAUGUGGUGCUGAGGAUCGAACCCAGGCCGCACGCAUGCCAGGCAAGUGCGCUACCGCCUGAGCCACAUCCCCAGCCCAAUAUUUUGCUUUUUUUAACAUCUAAAUUGUUUUUUAAUUGGAAAAGGUAGAAUCAUUAGAGUAAAAGCUAAUUAUAAUUAUGAAAAGUAAAAAUAAUCUAGUUUUAAAACAUUCUGGUGGCUAGAUCAGAUGAAUGUUAUGCUAUAUAGUACAGAGAGAAUUUUGUAGAACUGAUUGCAGAAAUCCCUCAGUAAUUCUGGAAAAUGAGAAAAGUUUUAGAAUAUAGGAAGAUACAAUAUUAUAUAUUUAAAAUGAGGUAAACAAUUUAUAUUAGUUAAACUUAAUAUUGAUUCCUGGUAUAACUGUAGAAUGGAUGAUUUAUGAGCAGUUUGAAAUGAAAACUUAAAACAAGCAUUCAUUAUAUGUGAUCCAGUAUGUGUAAGAACAGGUCUUAUCUCACAAGUGUGCUAGUGUAAUAAAAAGAUGAUUGGGAUACAGUUGUAAUAUUUAGCCUUUACUUGUCUAUUCUUUUAAUAGGAAUUCUGGAGAGUCAUUUAACUUCCUGGAUUUCACCAACAAAUUGUGGAAGUUAAACUGGAUCAUUGGUUUCCAAACUUGGCUUUGCAUCUCUUUGGUAUCUUCAUAUAUUUAGUAUUAUCUUGGAUCUUAGAGGUUUGACAUGCACCCAAAGGAAGAAUAAUUUCCUUUUAUAGUAUUCCUGAUUUGUUAGUUUCCGUAUGCUCACUUUACAGGAUGGGAAUUCUAUUAUUCUGAAACCACUAUCCACCCUGCUGUUUAGAAAUAUACAUAAUAAAUCUUUCUCUUUUUUUCUGAACCACUGUCUUGUUUAUCAUAAGUCUUCUCUAAAUUAAAUAUGCUAUUUUCCAUUUCCUUUAUUCCUGAGGAAAUAUGGAUUUUGAGUCUUAAUCAUCCUGAUUGCUUUCUUUUAGGAGGAUUGAGUUAUCUGGCAUUCCUGUGUUUCCAGAGCCUGAAACCAUAUUUAAUUCAGCAACAAUGGAACUGUAGACUUUUUAAAACAUUUAAGUCAGUUCUACAUUCUUGUAAGCAUUCCACAGCUCUCCCCAUAAAAUGACUGGGCUACCAUUUACAUUAGUAUUUCUAAAAUGAAAUACUUAGGUGUAACAAAAUAUGUACACUGUCUGUAUGAGGAAAACUAUAAAACUUUGAUGGGCUGGGGCUAUAGCUCAGUGGCAAAGCGCUUGCCUCGCAUGUGGGAGGCACUGGGUUCGAUACUCAGUACAACAUAAAAAAAUACAAAAAUAAAAUAAAAGUAUGCUGUCCAUCUACAACUACAAAAAACCAAAAAAACCUGUAAACUUUGAUGAAAGAAAUCAAAGAUAAAUAAACAGAAAGAUAGUCUAUGUUAAUAGAUCGGAAGACACAAUAUUAAGAUAUCUGUUUCUCACCUGAUCUAUAGAUUCAACUCUAUCCCCAUAAAAAAUUAGACACUUUACUUUGUAGUUAUCAAUAAACAGAUUCUAAAAUUUAUAUAUAAAUACAAAAGUGUAUGUAAAUAGUAAGUAAUAUUGAAGAAGAACUAAGUUGGAGAACUGACAUUACCGAGUUUCAAGACUUACUACACAUAGUAUACUCAAGACAGUCUGGUAUUGGUGAGAGAAGAGAGAAAUAAAUCAAAGGGAUGAAGUAGAGUCCAGAAAGACCCACACAAAUAUAGUGAACUGCUCUUUGAUAAAGGAGCAAAGACAAUUUAAUGGAAAACAAAUACAUUUUUUUUUUAACAAAUGGUGCUGGAACAGAUAGAUUUUAGAUAUAACACCAAAGGCAUGGUCCAUGAAAAAGGACUGUAAGGUGGACUUUGUGAAAAUGUAAAUACUUCUGCUUUGAGAAACACAGUUAAAGAUGAAAAGAUAAGCCAUAUUUACAAAACACAUCCAAUAAAGAACUUUUAUCUAGCUAGGCACUGUGGUGCACACUGUUAAUCCCAGCUACUUGGAAAGUGGUGACAGGAGGAUGGCAGAUUUAAGGCCAUCCUCAGCAAGUUAGAAUACCCUGCCUCAACAUACAAUAAAAAAGGCUGGGGGUAUAGCUCAGUGAUAAAGUGCCUCCCUAGCCUAUGCAAGGCCUUGGGUUCAUCCUCAGUUAUCUCAGAAGGAGAGGCUGGUGGUGGUAUUUGGGGGGACACUUGUAUCCAAAAUACACAAAGAACUCUUAAAACUCAACAAUCCAGUUAAAAUGUGGGCAAAAGAUCUGAACAGACACCUUACCAAAAAUGAUAUACAUAUGACAAAUACAUGUGGAAUGAUAUUUAACACUAUAGCAUUAGGGAAUUGCAAAUUCAAACAGUAAUGAGAUACCUGUUGAAAUGGCAAAAAUCCAACAUUGAGAAGAUCAAAUUAUGGUGAGGAUGUGAACCAACAGGAACUCACUCACAGGCAGUGAACAAAUGCAGAAUGGCAUAGCCAGCUGGGUGUGGUGGUGCUCACCUGUAAUCCCAGCUACUCAGGCUGAGGCAGGAAGAUUGAAAGUUUAAGGCCAGCCUGGACCUUGUCUCAAAAACUAAAAUGGGUUGGGGAUCAUGCUUCUUAGGAUUCACCCAAAUUGAAAGCACAUGUCUGCACAUGUGUACUUAUAACAGCUUUAUUUAAAUUACCCAAACUUGGAAACAAUCAAGAUGGCCUUCAGAAAGGGGGAAAAAAAGUCAUUUAAAAAAAUAGGUACUUGGGGCUGAGGUUGUGGCUCAGUGAUAGAGUACCUGUCUAGCACGUGCGAGGCAUUGUGUUCUAUCCUCAGCACCACAUAAAAAUACAUAAGUAAAAUAAAGGUAUUGUGUCCAACUAUGACUAAAAAAUAAUUUAAAAAAAAGUACUUGAUUUUGUCAUAGAAGUUGACUAGUUGUUUUUCAUUUGGAUAUCCAGUUGACUCAGGCAUUUAUUGAAAAACUAUCCUUUAUCACUUCACCAUAAUGCCACCUUUGUCACACAUAGAUAGAAAUCAUUUGGGGUCUGUUCUGGCCUCUGUUCCAUAGGCCCAUUUGUGGCAUAUACUUUUCACUUUUCUUUUGUAACAUUUUUUUUUUUUUUUGAGAUGGAGUGUUGCUAAGUUGCUAAAGUUAGUCUUGAACUUGAGAUCCUCUUGCCUUAGCUUUCUGAGGUGCUGGGAUUACAGGCAUGUGCCACAAUGUCUGGUUUGCUUUUCUUUUUUUUUUUUUUAAUUAGUUGUUCAAAACAUUACAAAGCUCUUGACAUAUCAUAUUUCAUACAUUUGAUUCAAGUGGGUUAUGAACUCCCAUUUUUACCCCGUAUACAGAUUGCAGAAUCACAUCGGUUACACAUCCACAUUUAUACAUACUGCCAUACUAGUGUCUGUUGUAUUUUGCUGCCUUUCCUAUCCCCUACUAUCCCCCCCCUCCCCUCCCCUCCCCUCUUCUCUUCUCUCUCUACCCCAUCUACUGUAAUUAAUUUCUCUCUCUUGUUUUUUUUUUUUUCCCUUUCCCCUCACCUCCUCUUAUAUGUAAUUUUGUAUAACAAUGAGGAUCUCCUUCCAUUUCCAUGGAAUUUCCCUUCUCUCUCCCUUUUUGUUAAAAAAAAUUUCUCCCUUUUCUUAAAAAAAUAAAAAAGAAAGGGAAAAAAGUAGUCUUUUUGAGUGGUAAGUCACAUAACAUAAAAUUCAUCUUGUGGAGGUUAGUGGUAUUUACUAUGUUGGCAGACUUAUGUAACAUCACAACUAUCUAAUUUCAAAAAGAAACUUCAUACAAUUAGCAGUCACUCCCUGUGAACUCUGCAAAUCUACUUUCUCAAUUUUUGUCUAUUCUGGAUAUUUCAUGAAUGGACGCAUACUCUGUGGCCUUGUCUGGUUCCUUUCACUUAGCAUAAUCUUUUGAAGGUUCAUCAGGGUGUAGUAAAUAUAGUAUGAAGUACUAUAUUUUUUUUUUUACUAUGAAGUAAAAAAAUAUAUAUGUAACAUGUACCAUUUUACCAUCUUAAAGUAUACAAAUUCAGUAACAUUAAUUAUGUUAAUAAUUUGGCAUUCAUAGUUGCUAUUUUCCAAAGGUUUUUCAUUACCCCAAACAGAAACUUUGUAUCCAAUUNNNNNNNNNNNNNNNNNNNNNNNNNNNNNNNNNNNNNNNNNNNNNNNNNNNNNNNNNNUUUUUUCCCUUUCCCCUCACCUCCUCUUAUAUGUAAUUUUGUAUAACAAUGAGGAUCUCCUUCCAUUUCCAUGGAAUUUCCCUUCUCUCUCCCUUUUUGUUAAAAAAAAAUUUCUCCCUUUUCUUAAAAAAAUAAAAAAGAAAGGGAAAAAAGUAGUCUUUUUGAGUGGUAAGUCACAUAACAUAAAAUUCAUCUUGUGGAGGUUAGUGGUAUUUACUAUGUUGGCAGACUUAUGUAACAUCACCACUAUCUAAUUUCAAAAAGAAACUUCAUACAAUUAGCAGUCACUCCCUGUGAACUCUGCAAAUCUAUUUUUGUCUAUUCUGGAUAUUUCAUGAAUGGACGCAUACUCUGUGGCCUUGUCUGGUUCCUUUCACUUAGCAUAAUCUUUUGAAGGUUCAUCAGGGUGUAGUAAAUAUAGUAUGAAGUACUAUAUUUUUUUUUUUACUAUGAAGUAAAAAAAUAUAUAUGUAACAUGUACCAUUUUACCAUCUUAAAGUAUACAAAUUCAGUAACAUUAAUUAUGUUAAUAAUUUGGCAUUCAUAGUUGCUAUUUUCCAAAGGUUUUUCAUUACCCCAAACAGAAACUUUGUAUCCAAUUAAUUGUCCCCCAUAUUCCCCUUCUCCCAACUUCUGGUAAACUUUAAUCCACUUUGUCAGUUUGCCUAUUCUAGAUAUUUUGUAAAAGUGGUCAUAUUUAUCCUUUAGAGCUUGGAUUAUUUCAUGUAGCAUAUUUCCAGGGAUCACCCAUAUUAUAGCAUGUAUCAGAAUGCCAUUUUUUGACUGAAUGAUAUUCCAGUAUACCAUACUCAUGUGUAAAAGAAUUUACCACAUUUUAUGUAUUCAUUUACUAGCUGAGGAUAUUUGGGCUUUUACUUUUUGGUAUUGAGAAUAAGCUGCUAUGGACAUUGAAGUACAAAUUUUAUGUAAACAUAUAUAUAUUCACUUCUCUUGGUUUUAACUUAAGAGUGGAAUUGCUAGGUCAUAUUUCAAGUCUGUGUUUCACUUUCCCAAAGCAGCUGCACCAUUUUGCAUUCCCUCCAGCAAUGUACGAAGGUUCUAUUUCUCCACUUUCUUGGCGAUACUUUUUUUUUUUUUUUAAAUUAGGGCAUCUAAAGUGGAUGUAAAAUGGUAUCUCAUGGUUGUGACUUGCAUUUCUCAAUUAACUGAUAACAUUGAGUAUUUUUUUUUCUUGUGCUUUGUGUCAUUCAUAUAUCUUCUUUGAAGAAAAGUCUGUUCAAAUCCUUUGACCUUUUUUUUUUUUUUCCUUUUGGUGGUACUGGGGAUUGAACCCACUACCACUAAGCUACAUCCCUAGCCCUUUUUAUUUUUAUUUUAUGACAGAUUGUCUUGCUAAAAAAGUUGCUGAGUUUGGCCUGGAACUUGAGAUCCUCCUGCCUUUGCCUCCUGAGUCUCCACACCUGGCAUUAACCAUUUGAGUUAAUGCUUGUGUAGAGUUCUUUUUUUUUAAAUUUUUUUAGUUGUUGAUGGACCUUUAUUUUAUUCAUGCGGUGCUGAGAAUCCAACCCAGUACCUCAUACAUGUGAAGCAAGCGCUCUACACUGAGCCACGACCCCAGUCCUUGUGUGGGGUUUUAACUUCAUUCUUUUAAAUGCUGAUAUUUAUUUUCCCUGGCAUCACUUAUUGGAAAGAAUAUUCUUACUCCAUUGAAUUGUUUCGGCACCUUUGUGGUAAAUGCUUUUAAAAGUUAAAAACUGAUAAUGUUGUCUGUCAGAAGUCUUUUGGAGUAUUUUUGAAGCAUUCUUUAAGAUAAUUAGAAAUUUUUUAGAUUAUUAAAAAAUAGGAAAAUUAUUAAAAGCUACUUAUUCAGGUUCUUUUUAUCCUUACCUUGGAUAUUUACUGCUUUGGUUCAUGUCAAAUGGCAAUUGGACUGUACCCAAUUUUUUUUAUGCUUUAAGAAAUACAGUUGAGGGGCUGGGGUUGUGGCUCAGUGGUAGAGUGCUUCCCUAGCAUGUGUGAGGCACUGGGUCCGAUUCUCAACACCACAUAUAAACAAAUAAAUUAAUAAAGGUCCAUCAAUAACUAAUAAAAAUUAAAAAAAAAAAAGAAAUACAGUUGAAUAGGCAAAUAAUGGUAGAGUUCUUACUUAGGCUUCUUUAUUUUGAAGUGCUAAAGCCAGAAUUGAACUGAAAAUUACAGGUUUAUUUCUUUGAGAUAUACAUGGUACCUCAAUAUUAACUUGCUUUCUGAGACACAAUUAUACUUUUAAUUAUUUUUGAAAUGUGUUAAGCCACAUAAGAUUAAGAUAUGAUUAUUUUGGAUAAAAUGUUACUUUGACCAGGAAAACUUUUGUCUAAAUGAUUUUACAGGUUCAAAUGGAUUAAAGAAAUUUCCUGUAAAUCUACAGUAUUUCCCUCUAAAUUACACAAAAGAGUUAUCCUCGUUCUAAGUUUCUGUGCAGGGAUUUUUUAAGACUAGCCAUUGCACAGUUCUCUAUAUUAAUUCAUGUUCUGAAGGGAUUCACUUUUCCUUGACUUUAUAUGACAGCUGAUCAAGAACAGGUAUUAUUUUUCCCUCCCCUUUUUACAUUUUAAAUUUGAAACUGAGUAAGGAAAAAAAAAAACUAUUUUGAGUAAGUUAUUUACUUAUUUAUUUUUGGUACCAGGAAUCGAACCCAGGGGCACUUAACCACUGAGCCACAUCCCCAGUCCUUUAUAUUUUUUGUUUUGAGACAUGGUCUUGCUAAGUUGCUUAGGGCCUCACUAAGUUGCUGAGACUGGCAUUGAACUUGAUAUUCUCCUGUCUCAGCCUUCCCAGUUGCUGGAAUUACAGGUGUGUGCCACCACAUCUAGUCAUAUAAAUUAUUUAGAAAACAAAAAAGAAAUACAUUUGGACAAGGUUUCCUUUUUAUUUUUUUAAAAUUUUUUAGUCAUAGAUGGACACAAUACCUUUUAUUUAUUUAGUUUUAUGUGGUGCUGAGGAUCAAACCCAGUGCCUCUCUUGUGCUAGGCAAGCAUUUUACCACUGAGCCACAGCCUCAGCCUGCAAGGUUUCCCCUUUAUAAUACAGCUUAUGUUCAUCUGAGUAAUUUUGAGAUAACUGUUUAAUUGAUUAUUGAUGUACAUUUAUUAUUUUUUAAUUAUAAAAAUUUUGGUGAGUGGUUUAUCUGGGUUUUAUUUUGGGGGGGGAUGAUAUUCAUAAGUUAGGAUUCCUUAAUUGGGAUAUUCUUUGAAAAGGCAAAAAAAAAGCCACAAAAUAUUAAUAUUCAAGUUCUUGACUUGUCUACAGUUUAAUUCCUUUUGUGUUCUGUUCUUUGCUGUGAAUUUUUGAAGUGAAAAAAGCAAAAAUUCACUUUGAACCAAGAAGACGACUCCUCUCUCUUGUUUAUGCAGUUUCUAAAUGGCAGCUUUAAGAGAGAACUGUUGUGCUGAGUGUGGUGGCACACACUUGUAAUCCCAGCUACUCAGGAGGCUAAGGCAGGAGAAUGGCAAGUUUGAAGCCUGUCUGAGCAAUUUAGUAAGACCUUGUCUCAAAAUAAAAAGGGUUGGGGGUAUAGCUCAGUGGAAGAGCCCUUGCCUAGCAUUCACAAGCCCCUUGGUUCAAUCCCUGGGUACUGAGAAGAAAGAAAAACAAGGAAUUGUUUUCCUUCUCCAUUGUUUUUGCAUGUGAAAACAAUCCUUGUGAAACUGUUUGGGUAGUGCUGAGAAGUUACUCAUUCUAUGGCUUUUAAAAAAAAGGUACACAGUACCUUUAUUUAUUUAUUUAUUUAUUUAUUUAUUUAUUUUUAUGUGGUGCUGAGGAUUGAACUCCAGUGCCUCACACAUGCCAGGAAGGUGUUUUACCACUGAGCCCCAGCCCCAGCCUCUAUAAAUAAUGCCUUGAAGUGUAGUACAAGUGUCAGGCCACCUUCACUGAACUGUAUCUGUUCCCUGUUGCAAAAGUGAUCAAAGGUAUAUGUUUAGUCUUGAGAUUAUAGGCAUUUAUAGUUUAAUUUUUAAAGCAAAGAAGAGUUUCAUAGUAUCUUUUCAUCAACAUAGAUAUAGACCGUGUUCUUCUGGCAGCAAGUGGAAAUUAAUCUUGGAUAACCAUAGUAUCUAGCAACAAUAAUGUACAGAUACUUUGAUGUUUCACUGUGAAUAACCAAGUAAAUGGAGUGUAAAACAUCAAUUUUAUGUUUCUCUUGAGCACAAUGUAGAAUUUCACUCCUUAUAUAUAUUCUGAAGGUAUCAUUAUUUGAGGCAUUUACAGAAGACCUCAAAUAAUGAUAUCUGAGCUUUCAGACUGUUUAUUGGAGCAGUGAAUAUGUUUUACAUAUAGAUUAGGUUUCUCUGUAUGGCCUUGUAAACAUAUACACACAUUCUCAAGUAUAUCCACAGAAAGAAAUUAAUAAUAUCAAAAGGAAAAUAGUAAUUUUAAAUUGGAGAAACCUGGUGGAUUGCUUUAACAAGUGAUCAGAGUUGAAUCACCAAUAUUGGGACAAACUGUAUCUUGUACUUCCUAAUUUUGAUACUCUGAGAACACAGGUAUUCUUGCCAAAAAUGCAUGAGUUUAAUCUACUUGGUUCUAUAAAUCAACUGAUUUGUAUUCUUAAAAAAAAACUCAAGGUCAAGCUGGGUGUGGUGGCCUAUAAUCCCAGUAACUCCAGAGACUGAGGCAGGAAGAUGGCAGGUUUGAGACCAGUCUGGGCAACUUAGUGAGACCCUAUCCCAAAAUAAAAUUUUAUAAAGGGCUGGGGAUGUAGCCCAGUGAUAGGGCACUCCUGGGUGCUGUUUAAAAAAAAAAAAAGUCAAGAAGGGGAAUGAUUGAGGAAUGUUGUAGGUUAAAGGUGACUGAUACACACCACAACUAUAUCUAUGUGUGAACCUGGAGUGAAUCCUGAACAGGAAAGGAUAUAAAGUACAUUAUUGGGACAAUUAAUAGAGAUUGAAUAUAGAUCAUAGAAUAUUAUACUUUUUUGAUUUUGGUAAUUAACACCGUGUUUAUGUAAAAAUGUUCUUUUCCUUAGGAAAUAUACAUGCAGUAUAAUGGAACAUGCUGUCUCCAACUAAUUUUUGGUUAUUAAAAAAAAGUGAUGGAUGCAUGCAUGUACAUGUAUAUAUUGAGAAGAUAAUGAAGCAGAUGAGGAAAAAUAUAAACAUAGGGUGAAUCUGGGUAAAGAUUAUGUGGGAUUUCCUAGUGCUGUUCUUGCAACUUUUUUGCAAGUUUGAAAUUAUAAUAAAAAGCCAUGUAAAUAUAACUGAGUGGUGUUAAAAUUCUUUGAUCCAGUUCAUCAUUGUGGUUUCAAUUCUUUUUCUAUGUUCCUUUGCAGAAUAGCCUUUAAAUGAAAAUGCUUUGGCUGGGGAUAUAGCCCAGUAGUAGAGCCCCUUGCCUAGCAUGUGUGAGGCCCUGGGGUUCAGUCUCUGGUACUGCAAAACAACAAAAACAAAAAUGGAAAUGCUUAAUUAUGCCUUUCAAUUCUGGGGUUCUUCACGUUGCAGAAUAGCAUGCAUUAGGCUUAAAGCAGCUGUGUAUUAAAAUCAGUGGGAGAUCAAGGAAAAAUAAAAGAGUUCAGGCAGGUGGUGAGAAAACUGAAUAGAUAUACAUUUCUACUUUAAUAGUGUGGUUUCAUAAUAUUCUUUGGGAAAAAUGUAAAUUUUUAAAAUAUCAGACAUAGCCAUGUUCAAGCAAAGACAUUAUCAAAAACUGCCAAAUGGACUUUUUUUUUUUUUUUGUGUGUGUGUGUGUGUGGUGCUGGGGAUUGAACCCAGGGCCUUAUGCAUGUGAGGCAAGCACUCUACCAACUGAGCUAUAUCCCCAGCUCCCCAAAUGAACAUGUUUUUAAAAAUAUAUUUUUAGAUGUUGAUGGACCUUUAUUUUUAUUCAUUUAUUUAUAUGCGGUUCUGAGGAUUGAACCCAGUGCCUCCUCACACAUGCUAGGCAAGUGCUCUACCACUGAGCCACAACCCCAGGCCAACAUAGACAUUUUUAAAAGUACAGGAUGAAUUAUUUCUUAGCUUGAGACCUGAAAUGUUUCAGAUUUUGGAAUUUUUUGGGUUUUAGAAUAUUGAUGUAGAUUUUUAUCAUUUGAACAUAUGCUCAAAAGUUUAAGCUUUUGGAGUAGUCUGAAUUUUGGAUUUCAUCUAACCUGUUUUUAUCUAUCAAUCGAUCUAUAUCUAUCUGUGCUGGGAACUGAAUCCAGGGGCACUCUGCCACUGAGCUACAUCCCCAGCCCUUUUUAUUUAUUGAGACAGGGUCUCUCUAAGUUGCCCAGGCUGGUCUUGAAGUUGAAAUCCUCCUGCCUCAGCUCCUGAGUAGUUGGGAUUCCAGAUGCGCACCACUGAUUGAAGAAAAGCAUUGUUUAAAGAGAAGCUUUUUAGAGUCAUAUUGCCAGUAUUUGUUAUAGUAAAGAAACCUGGGGGCUGAGGAUGUAGCUCAGUGGGAAGUCAGGUGGGAGGUCUUGUUCUCACAGGUCUUGCUCAGUGGGAGGUCUUGCUUAGCAUGUGCAAGACCUGAGUUCAAUCCCCAGCAUCACACCCUGUAUGUAUAUUCUCUGUGUGCUUUAUUGGUACAAAGUAGUGAAUAGUCUAAUUACUGCCUGGCUUAUGAAACAGCUAGGAGUUGCACUUGUUUUUAUUAUUUGUGAUUUGAACCUAAUAUUUUUAGUGUGUGUGUGAAGCUUGUCUAAGUACUUUUUGUUCUUUCUUUUUUUUUUCUUUGACAGUAUUGUUAGCCCAUUGUAAAAACAAAAUUUGAAAACUAUAAAAAAGAAAAAAAAUGACCCAUAAUCACUCUUUCUAAAAGUAACUGCUGUUAAGAAUAUUUUCUUGGGCUGGGGAUGUGGCUCAAGCGGUAGCGCGCUCGCCUGGCAUGCGUGCGGCCCGGGUUCGAUCCUCAGCACCACAUACAAACAAAGAUGUUGUGUCCGCCGAAAACUGAAAAAUAAAUAUUAAAUAUUAAAAAUUAAAAAAAGAAUGUUUUCUUUUUGUAGUUUCAAAAAACAUAGUGGGCAUUAUACUUGUAUACAAUUUGACCAUGCUUCCUUCAUGUAACAUAUCAUGCACAUUGUCCCACAUCAUUAAAAAUUCUUUUGACACUGUUAUUUUUAAACUUUUAAUAAUAAUCCAUUAUAUGAUGAACUACAAUUUACUUCUUUGUUCUGAGAUAAUAAUUUUGAAGGCAAAUAACAUUGGUUAUGAGAUAUGCAUAUGGAUGAAUAUUUUAGUGCAUAUACUUUAUAAGCAGAAGUAACGAGACCUCUGUUUUUCUUGAUUUUUAUUCUUUUGAGAAGCAUUGUUUGAAGAAAAGCUUUUAAGAGUCAUAUUCAGUAUUUGUUAUAGUAAAGAAACUUGGGGGCUGAGGAUGUAGCUCAGUGGGAGGUCAUGUGAUUAGCAUGUGAAAGACCCUGGGUUCAAUCCCCAGCAUCCCCCCCCCCCCCCAACCACCCAAAAAAAAAGGAACCUGGAGGAAAUUUUUUUUUUUAUAAAAAUAUUCUUUUGUUAGUUAAUUCUUAAACAUUUGGCAAUUUAUUUCUGAUAUAUGUAUUAUGCAGAUGUUUUUCAAAUUAAUUAAAAAUUUAAUGUUUCUACUUGGCAGAUAUGAAUUUAAGAACUUUGAGACUAUUUACCUUAAAAUUAUGUAAGAUAAAUUACAAUUUAGAUCUUAAGACAUUCUAUAAUUUUAGGAUGAGUUGCAGACUGAGGGCAGUCAGCAUUACCUUUAAUGUCAGGAAGCAUAGUAGUAUAUUCUUGAUUAUAAAACACUGAAAGUGAUCUUUCACAUUAAUUCUUGGAAUUAGUGAUUAUUUUCACAUUAAAAUAUUAUUUUAUUAGUCUUAGAAUUACUUAUUUGACCAGAAAAUACACAUGAAUAGUUGAAGGUCUUCCCUUUCUUUGAGUCUUUUUGCAUUUCUUCAGCAAUAACGAGGGAUUCCUUCCUAAUAAAGCAGACACUUUUAAGUGUAUGUGUAAUAGGUUCAUUAGGGAUUGUGUAUGAAUAAAUCACAUCUCCUCUGGUGCUUAAGGUCAUCCUGAUUUAGGUAUAUGGUGGCGUCUCAUAUUUCAUAAAUGAGUACCUGAAAUAUAUAUUGCAUUCAUCUGGAAGGAGUCUAAUAGACCCACUUAAAGUACUGUUAACAUCUCUUAUAAUUUCAUGUUUUGGCAGGUAAACCUAGCCUUUAAGCAACCUGGAAAGAGGCUAGAGCACCAAGGAAUUAGAAUUGAAUUUGUAGGUCAAAUUGGUGAGUUUUAAAAUAGUAUUACUUUUUCUUUUGAUAACUUGAGUUUGAAGAGGGUUGGAUUUGGCACUUAAAUAAUUAAGAGUUAAACUUGGUGGAAGGAAGGAAUUGAUUUUGCAUAAUAAAAGAGGACUUAAUAUAUUAAAUCAGAAUGUUUCUUUUAAUUGUAUUAAAUUGCAUUUGACUCAUUCUGCCUGUAUUAUUGGAUUUUACUACUAAAACUGAAAGAUAUUAUAUAAACUACUAGCCUUGAAAAAUCAAUUGGCUCACUCACCAAAAUUUUCAUCUGUCUACAUUUUCACCAACCUUACAACUACCAGCUUCACCUUCAUUUUUCAUUCUCUAAUUAUCCAUGCCAUUUGUCUUCCUGACCUAGUGUGUGCCUGUAGCCAGACUCACCUGGUAACAGAAAAUUCCAUGUGAAAAGGAAAGGGAUGAUUUAUUCUUAGAUCAAAUUGUGUACAUUUCCAUAUAUGUAUUUUAGAGACAUUCUUGAUUUAGCUGGGAGUUAAAUUGUAUAUAAAUCUUUUAUACUAUAUAUUCAGAAAAAAGAGGGUUAGGAGUAUGGCUCAGAGAGAGGUAGAGUGCUUGCCUAAGCAUGUGCAAGACCCUGGGAUCAGAUCCCCCCAUACCAUAGAUAGAAAAGAAAGUAUGUCUUUUCAAUACUGUCUACAAAGCUAGGUUUUUAAAUCUAGUUUUCUAAGUUUUACUGUACAUUUUUAAAGCAUCAAAAAUGGAAUGGGUAGAUAUUUGUUUACAUAUUAUUCUGAAUGAGAUUGUACUUAAGGGUCAAAUUGUAAUAAUUAACUGAUAGUUGGUUUUAUUCUUUUGUGUAUUACAGUUUUAUCAAGGUAAUAUAUUUGUCCAAAACAAAACAACAAAACAGAAUUUUUGCCUUAAAGGGAAGAAGUUCAAAUAAUUGCUGGUAAUGUGUCAAACAGCUUUAUAUUGGGGGAAAUCCCUAACUACAUCAAAAGGAAUGAACUCAUUUCUGAUAGGAAUUUUCAUUGUGCUAUGCUUCUUGAAUUUAGUGAUGCCUAGGUGGAGCAUAAUAAUGGGGAUGAUAAAAUUCAGAUCAUAGUUCUAGUUUAUUAGAGACAAAUCCAACUAAUUCUUUUGGUAAAAAUUAUUUGCUUUGGAGGUAGAAGUUUGGGUUUUAUUGAAAUGGACAUUAAAAUAUAAUUAGUCUUUUGCUGUUUUAAAUUUCUUAGAACUCUUCAAUGACAAGAGUAAUACCCAUGAAUUUGUAAACCUAGUGAAAGAACUAGCCUUACCUGGAGAACUGACUCAGAGCAGAAGUUAUGAUUUUGAAUUUAUGCAAGUUGAAAAGCCAUAUGAAUCUUACAUCGGUGCCAAUGUCCGCUUAAGGUAUGAAUGUAUUACAAACUAUAAGCAGAGUCAAAACCAGAAAGUAAUGGCUCUUAUUAAUGUCUUAUUUGAACUCCUAGUUGUAAUUCUGUACUGAAGAUUUAAGGUUGGAAAAUGUUCUGCACAUUACUUUGUUUGGCUAGGACUGAUCUGAAGAGUUUUUUUUUUUUUUUUUGAUACCAGGGAUUGAACUCAGGGGCACUCAACCACUGAGCCACACCCCCAGCCCUAAUUUGUAUUUUAUUUAGAGACAGGGUCUCUCUGAGUUGUUUAGCGCCUCACUUUUACUGAUGCUGGCUUUGAACUCACGAUCCUCCUGUCUCGGCCUCCCAAAUUGCUGGGAUUAUAGGCAUUCACCAUCAAUGCCCAAUGACUGGAAGAGCUUUUUAACAUAGAUUCAGAGAAACCAUAUGAAAAGUUUCAGUUAUAUAUUUCCUUUGUGUGAAUUAUCUUUUAAGUACUUCAUUUGUGAAGAAGUACCUAAAAUUUCCAUCUGUCCACAUUUUGAACUGAAUUACUCUCCAAAUAUAUUUAUUUUCUAAUGAAUCUUAUUCAAUAUAUGGUUAAGAAGUGAUCUGGAACUCCAAAGAGGCUGACUUAUCUGAAAGUACAAAAGACGCAAAUGGCAGAACUGAAGUAGGAACCCAGUUUUCUAAAUUCUCAAUCCAGUAUCCUUUCCCUAGGUCUUCUUGCAGGAAGCCAUGAAUGCUUCAGGGACCAGGGCAAUUAAAGAUACUAAUCUGAAUGCAUCAGGUCUAAGAACCUGCUUUCUUAGCAUUGUCCAUCUGUUACUGGAUUUGACAGCCCAAAUGCCAAACAGCAGUACUUUAACUAGAUAUAGAUUUCCUUACAUAGGUUUGACAGUUUCCCUGCAAACUUAUCUGAAAAGUAUUUAUUCUUAAAAUUGAAUUUUCUUCCCCCAUAUGCGGAACAGUUUUUUUGUUUUUGUUUUUUAUUAAGAGGGCUAGGAGUAUAGCUUAGUGAUAGAAUGCAUACCUAGCAUUUGUGUGGCCCUGCACCAAGAAAAAAAAAAUUAGAACACUUUCAUAAGGUAAAUGCAAAAUGUAGUAAGUUGACCCCAAAGGAAUUCCAGCCAAGAAAAAACUGAGGUAAUGUUUGCAUAUUUAGAAUAUUUAAAUUUAUCAUAGGUGAUUUAUCUUAUUUCCUCUAUUAAUUUUAUAGGUAUUUUCUUAAGGUGACAAUAGUGAGAAGACUGACAGACUUGGUGAAAGAGUAUGAUCUUAUUGUUCACCAGCUUGCCACCUAUCCUGAUGUUAACAACUCUAUUAAGAUGGAAGUGGGCAUUGAAGAUUGUCUGCAUAUAGAAUUUGAAUACAAUAAGUCAAAGUAAGUACCUUUCACAGAUGAAUGUUCAGGGAAAAUUUAAAAAUAAGCUUUUCAGGCCUUUGUAAAUUGAUCACCAUAAGGAUAGAAUUAAUAUUAAUCUGAUGUUAACAGACUGACAGUCUCUGAGCUACAAGAAAUUUGAGGAGUUUGGUCUUGCUUCCACCCCAGGGAAAGUAUCUUUUAUAUUCUCUUCCUGAUAAGAUUCUGCUUGAUCACUUUAUGUAGAGGAUCUUAACAUCUCAGAAGUAGCCAGUUUCAUUUGUCUGUAAAAUUUACUAGCUUGAUAUCACUUCAUCCUGGCUAUUUAUUUAAACUGAAACAAAAAUUCUUUUUUUCUGACUACAUAAACAGUACUUUUUCAUUAUUGAAAAUUUGGAGGAUGUAAAAAGUGAAAGGAAGUAAAAACGUCACAUAUGUUCACCUUUACUAUUUAACCACUAAUAAUAUUCUCUUGUGUGUCUGUUUUGGGGGUGUGGUAUAUAUAUAUAUAUAUAUUUUCAAAAUGGGUUCAUACUUAUUAUUUAAUACCUUUUUAAAUUUUAUUAUGGAAGAUUUCAAACAAUGCCAAAGUACAUGAAUAUUGAAUAAUAUAAUGAAUCUUCAUGUACCCAUUGCCCAGCUCCAACAGUUACUAGCUGCUUUGUUUUGUCUGUAUUUAGCUCCCACACUUCUCAUAGACUAUAUUGAAACAAAUUCUAGACACAUAAUUUAGUCUAAAAAAUUAUGCAUUAUUUUAGUGUAACUACAAUACUAUUCAAAAAUAUUAACUCCUUAAUAUUUCUAUAAAUAUAGUCAGCAUUCACAUAACCCAAAUUGACUCAUUUUUUGUCUCUUUUUUUCACAUGAUUUGUUCAAAUCUGUAUCCAAACAAGAUCCACAAAUUUCAUUGGAUUUUUUUGACUCUUAAAUCUCAUAAUUUUAUAUUUUUCCCAUUUUUUUAUUAAAGUUUUAAUUUGUUGAAGAAAUAGAUGGCUUGUUUUAUCUCUCUUCUACAUAUUAUUCUCUUACAUAAUUUUUUAUUGUCACUGCCAACUUUAUAGCACUUAAAAUUUGAUAUAUGUGUCUAUAGAAUCUUAAAUUGUUGAUAAAUUAUCAGAUACUUGGAAACCUAAACACUUGUCACUGGAGUUUCCCUUCAGACUCAUGUGGUUGUAUUCCCAGAUUUGUUAGCACCUUAUUUCAAAGAAUUUAGCAAGGUUCUUUGAUUAUUAAAUAAUAUACAACAAAAUCAGAUCUGUGGAGGUAGCCCCAAUUAAUCUCUCUUUGAGGUCAGAUUUGUUAGUUGUAUUAUUGUAGCAUUUAUAAUGAUGCUGUUAUAUAGAACUUUUUUUUUUUUUUUUUUUUAAGAAAGAGAGAGAGAGACAGAGAGAGAGAAAGAGAGAGAGAGAGAGAGAGAAUUUUAAUAUUUGUUUUUUAGUUUUCGGCGGACACAACAUCUUUGUUUGUAUGUGGUGCUGAGGAUCGAACCUGGGCCGCACGCACGCCAGGCAAGCGCGCUACCGCUUGAGCCACAUCCCCAGCCCUAUAUAGAACUUUUAAUGUUGAAAAUAUCUUCAACUGGAGGCCAGUCUGGGCAACUUAAGCAAGACCCUCUCUCAAAAUAAAAAGAACAAUAAAAAGGGCUGAGGGUAUAGGUCAGUGAUAAAGUGUCCUGGUUCCAUUUCUAUUACAGUUGAUCAGUCAAUCAAUAAAAUGAAAAUAUAUUCAUUCACUUGAAACAAAUAUUUCAAGCAUAAAGAAUCUAAUUUUCUAUUUGGUUAACUGCUUAGAUUCUCUAGGCAAUAAGUCCUAAGUAGGACCAACAAUUCAUCAGGCUAAUUGUUCCCUCCGAGAUAUUGAAGGUCAAGUAAAAGUUUGAUAGCAUACUUUAUCAUAGUGAAAUGAAAAGGGACCUGAAACAUUAUGAAUAGUCAAAAUGGUAUUCUUAAAGUUGUUAUCUUAAAGAUACCUAUUAAAGCCUUCCAUGGCUUAUUUCACUCUUUUUCUUGUUUUUAAAAUAUACUUAGUGAUAUGUAUUUUCUCCCAAUAGAUAUCAUUUAAAGGAUGUGAUUGUUGGAAAAAUUUACUUCUUAUUGGUAAGAAUAAAAAUACAACACAUGGAGUUACAACUGAUUAAAAAAGAGAUCACAGGAAUUGGUAAGUUGAAGAAAGUAUUUGAAUUAAAAUUUCCUUCUUUUAGUUGAAAUUUUAGAAAUCUCGAAAUUUUAUUUCAACAUAAAAUCAUUUGAUAUCCACAUUGGAAACUGACUUUGCUUUGCUGCCUAUAAGAAAUCCACUUAAUGCUUUUUUAAAAACUGGUUUUUGAGCUGGGUGUGGUGGCAUGCAUCUGUAGUAGGACCACCUGUUCUGAAGACUGAGGCAGGAGACUCUCUUGAGCUCAGGAGUUCAAGGCCAGCCAGGACUACACAGCAAGACCACAUCUCUUAAAAAUAUAAAGAAAUACAUAAAAAUUUGAAUAGGUGGCAAUUUCACUUUGCUCAACAAGUAUGAAAGACUAUAUGGUAGCCAGGCAUGGUGGCACAUGCCUGUAAUCCUGGUGACUAGGGAGAUUGUUACAAGAGGAUCACAAGUUAAAGACCAGCAUGGGUAAUUUAGCAAGAACCUGUCUCAAAGAAUAAAAAAGGGCUGGGGGUGUGACUCAGUGGUAAAGUGCUCCUGGGUUCAGUCCCCAGUACCGAAAAAAAUAAUAAAUAAAUAGGGCUGGAAAUGUACCUCAGUGGUUGCCUAGCAUAUAUGAGGUCCUGGAUUCAAUCCCUGGUACAAAAAAAAAAAAAAAAAAAACAGUAAAAAGUAUCAUAUUUUAAUACUUAAGUUAUUAAUAGGUAAUACAUUUAUAAGUUUUUAAAUCCUCCUAGAAGCUGGGCACAGCAGCAUGUGCUAUAGUGCCAGCUACUUUGGAGGCUGAGGAAAGAGAAUUACUUGAGCCCAGGAGUUCAGGGUCAACCUGGGAAACAGUGAAACCAUGUCUUUUUUGAUAAAAGGUGAAAGAUUUAUACAACCUAAAGAGAAACCAGAGUAUGAGACCCUAUCUCUUAAAAAAUAUU